Molecule: non-coding RNA, 214 nt
Organism: Pelobates cultripes (western spadefoot toad)
Lineage: Eukaryota; Metazoa; Chordata; Amphibia; Anura; Pelobatidae
Source: the annotation of a GenBank genome assembly
CUUCGCAGUUACCUUUUGAGGCUUUCCCUCCUUAUGGAGGGUGUCAGUGAUGGUUUUCUGCACAACUGUCAGGUCAGCAGUCUUCCCCAUGAUUGUGAUUCCUACUGAACCAGACUGAGACCAUUUAAAGGCUCAGAAACCCUUUGCAGGUGUUAUGGCUUACUUAGCUGAUUAGAGUGGGACACUGUGAGCCUAGAAUAUUGCACCUUUUCAC